CUGUCGAAUAAAAUUCUAGAUAGAAUUAUGAUAAUGACAAUCUAUCUAUGCUUGACCAAAUUACGUGCCAGCAGUCGCGGUAAUACGUAAAAGACUAGUGUUAUUCAUCUUUAAUAGGUUUAAAGGGUACUUAGACGGUAAAUAAAGCCGAACUAAAUACUAGAGUUUGAUGUAAGGAAGAAGUACUGUUGGUGUAGAGAUAAAAUUCUAUCAUACUGGCACAGGUUUAGGCGAAAGCAUCUUCUUAUGUAAUAACUGACAAGGCUUUGUGUCUCGAACAGGAUUAGAUACCCCAGUAGUCUAAGCAGAUAAUGAUGAAUGUCAUAGAUUAGAUCUAUAAAUGAAAGUGUAAGCAUUCCACCUCAAGAGUAAUUUGGCAACAUUGGAACUGAAAUCAUUAGACCGUUUCUGAAACCAGUAGUGAAGUAUGUUGUUUAAUUAGAAGAUACACCAAAAACCUUACCACAAUUUGAACAAGCGCUGCACGGCUGUCUACAGUUAAUGUCGUGAGAUUUUGGUUAGUUCCAUUAAAUUAACGCAAACCCUCACUUUAUUUAGGGAACAAGACAAGUC
RNAcentral lists this ribosomal RNA (573 nucleotides) under Lecidea fuscoatra. RNAcentral's name for it is "SSU rRNA". It matches the Rfam family "Bacterial small subunit ribosomal RNA", at positions 440 to 1191 of the family's 1533-position model. Lineage: Eukaryota; Fungi; Ascomycota; Lecanoromycetes; Lecideales; Lecideaceae. RNAcentral also lists the same sequence under 1 other name. The record is from RNAcentral.